CCUACGGGAGGCAGCAGUGAGGAAUAUUGGUCAAUGGACGAGAGUCUGAACCAGCCAAGUAGCGUGAAGGAUGACUGCCCUAUGGGUUGUAAACUUCUUUUAUAUGGGAAUAAAACGUUCCACGUGUGGGAUUUUGUAUGUACCAUAUGAAUAAGGAUCGGCUAACUCCGUGCCAGCAGCCGCGGUAAUACGGAGGAUCCGAGCGUUAUCCGGAUUUAUUGGGUUUAAAGGGAGCGUAGGUGGAUUGUUAAGUCAGUUGUGAAAGUUUGCGGCUCAACCGUAAAAUUGCAGUUGAAACUGGCAGUCUUGAGUACAGUAGAGGUGGGCGGAAUUCGUGGUGUAGCGGUGAAAUGCUUAGAUAUCACGAAGAACUCCGAUUGCGAAGGCAGUUCACUGGACUGCAACUGACACUGAGGCUCGAAAUUGUGGGUAUCAAACAGGAUUAGAUACCCCGGUAGUC
RNAcentral lists this ribosomal RNA (460 nucleotides) under uncultured bacterium. Its description in RNAcentral is "partial 16S ribosomal RNA". It matches the Rfam family "Bacterial small subunit ribosomal RNA", at positions 338 to 795 of the family's 1533-position model. The record is from RNAcentral.